CGAGCAGGGCUGCAAUUCAAACGUCUAUAACGGAAGAGAAGCGGAAAAUAGCUUUGAUCGUGUACGAAUAGUAGUGCACUAAAUCGCUAAAACGAAUUUCCUUCAUCUGCAUGCCAGUUACAUAUAAAAGUUAUUUUUUUUAAACUAAGUACCGCAAAGUGGUAACAAAGUAAUUAAGGGUGUCUUAUAUACGAAAUUAAUUGGCGGUUAAAUGGAUAGAUGGAAGACAAAGUGUUGAAUUAAGUCAAUGGUCUGACCUACUUAACGGUAAACGUUCGGCUUGUGUGAGUGCUUCAAUUUGCAUAAAUUUUUCGACAUUUUGCACCUCUUUCAUAUUACACACAAAAGUACAUACUUUGUAUACUUUGAACAAAGUUGAAAGCCAUUGAAAGUAUGGCCGCAAAAUAAACAAAAACAACAACGCAAAUGGCAACAAUACCUACCAAAAAGAAUAUCACCAUCAUCAACAACAACAACAACAACAAUAAGAAUAACAGCCGGCUCGUGUAGCUACAAAAUAUCGGGAAUAUUACUUUUCUGCUGACUUUUUCGUUUCGUUUCUUGCUACAAAGUGAUUAUCGACAGCAAAAUCAAAAGGAAAGAAAAAGUUAAAAA
Rhagoletis zephyria (snowberry fruit fly) is the source of this 615-nucleotide long non-coding RNA. RefSeq lists it as uncharacterized. The record is from RefSeq and is a predicted model, not a curated record. NCBI's taxonomy places the organism in Eukaryota, Metazoa, Arthropoda, Insecta, Diptera, Tephritidae.